GACCAUGACCAUACCACCCUGAAUGCACCCAAUCUCAUUUGAUCUCAAAAGCUAAGCAGGGUCGGGCCUAGUUAGUACUUGUAUGGGAGAGCAACUGGGAAUACCGGGUGCUGUAGGCU
RNAcentral lists this ribosomal RNA (119 nucleotides) under Jaculus jaculus (lesser Egyptian jerboa). Lineage: Eukaryota; Metazoa; Chordata; Mammalia; Rodentia; Dipodidae. The record is from RNAcentral.